AGAGUUUGAUCAUGGCUCAGGAUGAACGCUGGCGGCGUGCCUAACACAUGCAAGUCGUACGAGCUCGAUCUUCGGAACGGGUUAGUGGCGCACGGGUGAGUAACACGUAGGUGACCUACCCCAGAGUGGGGGAUAACUUCUCGAAAGAGAGGCUAAUACCGCAUACACUCGGUCAUUCAUUUGGCCGAGCAAAGCUCUGGCGCUUUGGGACGGGCCUGCGUCCGAUUAGCUAGUUGGUAGGGUAAUGGCUUACCAAGGCUUUGAUCGGUAGCUGGUCCGAGAGGACGAUCAGCCACACUGGCACUGACACACGGGCCAGACUCCUACGGGAGGCAGCAGUGAGGAAUAUUGGGCAAUGGGCGAAAGCCUGACCCAGCAACGCCGCGUGAGGGAUGAGGGCCUUCGGGUUGUAAACCUCUUUUCUGGGAGAAGAGACAAGGACGGUAUCCCAGGAAUAAGUCUCGGCUAACUACGUG
RNAcentral lists this ribosomal RNA (476 nucleotides) under uncultured bacterium. Its description in RNAcentral is "bacterial SSU rRNA". It matches the Rfam family "Bacterial small subunit ribosomal RNA", at positions 8 to 507 of the family's 1533-position model. The record is from RNAcentral.